AUACGUAGGUGGCGAGCGUUGUCCGGAAUUACAGGGUGUAAAGGGCGCGUAGGCGGGGCUGCAAGUCAGAUGUGAAAUCUGGGGGCUUAACCCUCAAACUGCAUUUGAAACUGUGGUUCUUGAGUGAUGGAGAGGCAGGCGGAAUUCCUAGUGUAGCGGUGAAAUGCGUAGAUAUUAGGAGGAACACCAGUGGCGAAGGCGGCCUGCUGGACAUUAACUGACGCUGAGGCGCGAAAGCGUGGGGAGCAAACAGGAUUAGAUACCCUGGUAGUCCACGCUAUAAACGAUGAAUACUAGGUGUGGGGGGACUGACCCCCUCCGUGCCGGAGUUAACACAAUAAGUAUUCCACCUGGCGAGUACGAUCGCAAGGUUGAA
RNAcentral lists this ribosomal RNA (376 nucleotides) under uncultured bacterium. Its description in RNAcentral is "bacterial SSU rRNA". It matches the Rfam family "Bacterial small subunit ribosomal RNA", at positions 523 to 898 of the family's 1533-position model. The record is from RNAcentral.